Long non-coding RNA from Coregonus clupeaformis (lake whitefish), 2183 nucleotides. RefSeq lists it as uncharacterized. Lineage: Eukaryota; Metazoa; Chordata; Actinopteri; Salmoniformes; Salmonidae. The transcript is spliced from 3 exons. The record is from RefSeq and is a predicted model, not a curated record.
UUGGUGGCUGACUAAAUAAAUAAUUUUUUUCCCCACUGUAUAUAUGUGUACCUUUAUCUAAACAAGGAGUCACCAUUUAGACCAGCGGGUAUACAAUUCAUAAGACAAAAUGAAAUCAAAAUCAGAUACAAUAUAAAACAAACUACAUCACAACACAAAUAUUCAAGAAAAACAGUUACAUUCCUCAGUACGAAGAUCCCCAAUCAAUAUUUUAAAUUUCCCGAGCGGCACCAUAACAUCCAAAGGACUUUUGCUUGGAUGUUAAGCAAAAAUUGUCAAUGUUAUUUUGUCCAAUUAAGUCUGUAUGAACAGUAAUGGUGCCAACAUAUUUUGACAUGUGGACUAGUUACCAUUUAAAGGCCCAGUGCAAGCAAAAACUGGAUUUUCCUGUGUUUUAUAUAUAUUUCCACACUAUGACUUUGGAAUAAUACUGUGACAUUUUGAAAAUUACGAUGAUGCCCUUUUGUGUAAUAGCUGUUUGAAAAUACUGUUUGGUGCUGACUUCAGGCUACCAAUUUAAGGUAAACUUUGGAUUAAAGAUCUGAGAUGCACAAAAUAAUACCCUGUUGUGACAUUGCUUUUUCGAAAGGGUUGUACAGAGGAGAAUCUCAAUUGCAUUUCCUUGAUUCCUCACGUCCCCUUUCCUCCCUUCUGACCUUCUCAUCCAAUGGGUUUUGAGAUGGAAGCAAGGAGAGAGGAUGCAGGGAAUCAAGGUAACACAAUGGAGAUUCUCCCCAUGACACUCAGAACUUCAAGAAGACAUUGGCAAACAGACACCAGUACAUGAUGACCUCUCCCUAUCAUCUCUGUGCACCGUCAUUUUUCAAACCGUAGACACAUACAUGUACUGUUAACUCUGUCCCAGUUUCAACACUACCACCUGUAAAGGAGUUCAUUGAUCUCUGGCCUAGUCUGCACAUGGAGUUGCAGGUAAAAUUUCAUAGAAGUUUUUUUACUCAAAUAUGACAUGCUUUAAUAUAUUAGUUAUACUAAAUUGAAUUGUUAAACUGUGUUGCCGAACUUGUGAUAAUACUGCUAAAUACUGUCCUUUGCGGUCUGUCAUUUCCAAAUAUAUCUGUAUGCAGAGUUCCGCCGAAUUAGGAAACAGAACUUGCCGAACAGCUUCUAUGCUGCACUCGACUGUCACACCCCUCGUUUGAUAAACAGACGGCAUCGAAGACUGGAAGGAUCACUGACGCUUUAGAUGACAUUCUGAGGUGUCAAGAUCUACGCUAUAGGAUCUACAUGAUGUUCUCCGUGCUCUUCCUUUGUUGCUGCGUGAGGAAGUCUUAGGAUUUUUCAAAACAUGCAAGGGGGAGGAUUCCGACGAGUCAGAUCUUGUUGACGCACCGGUAUCCCUACUUACAAUCGUCAGUGACGACACCGAAAAUCAAGUCCAUUACAGUCAAGAUCUCCGUUGUCCUGGGGAGUGAAGUUGUGGUGACCGACUUCGCCAGACUGGCUGACAUUUAACUGGUAAUGUUCGGUCUGAUCUGUGCUAUACAUCUCAGUUAUUCCAAAGAACUGUCCAACACUUUUGAGUUCAGUCAGAAAAUCCUGCUCGCCUUAGAAGAUGGGAAACUGAAGCCAAGAAUAAAGGGUCUGAAUAAUGAUUUGAUGAUACAUGUGUAGACAUUCACCAAAUGACAAACAUUUUCUGAAAACACCAUUUGUCCUUGUUUCAACUUUAUGAAUGUGGCUUAAGGCUAGAGUUUGCUUUAUUUCAUUUUUUCUUUCACAAGACAUUGGGUUGGAUUCCAUAAGAACUGUUAUGUUGAGCUGUAUCUAGAAUACAGUACAAAGAUAAAGUUGUCAAGAGUAUUUGGUUUGAAGUAGGAAUAGAAAAUGAAGUCUUUGUGAAGCCUUUGUCAUAAGUUAUUGCCUACAUCUAUACUUCUGAGGGCCUAUAGGAAGGAGAAUCUCAAUUCCGGUUCCUUGUCUCGCGUUCUCUCUCCUCGUCUUUUUCUCAAAACCCAUUGGAUGAGAAGGUCAGAGGGGAAGGAACUCUCACUAUCUCAUUCAAUGGGUUUUGAGAAGGAGGCGAGGAGAGAGGGCACAAUGAAUCAAGGAAAUGCAAUUGAGAUUCUUCCAAGAAGUUGAUUUGGUAUUCAGAUAAGGAGAGACCAUAUUUAUUUUAUUUGUAAUAACCUAUUCUUAUUCAAUGGGAGAAUCUCAAUUACAUU